GAUGAACGCCGGCGGUGUGCCUAAUACAUGCAAGUCGUACGCACUGGCCCAACUGAUUGAUGGUGCUUGCACCUGAUUGACGAUGGAUCACCAGUGAGUGGCGGACGGGUGAGUAACACGUAGGUAACCUGCCCCGGAGCGGGGGAUAACAUUUGGAAACAGCUGCUAAUACCGCAUGAUGCAACGGAAUCGCAUGACUCUGUUGCCAAAGAUUUAUCGCUCUGAGAUGGCCUCGCGUCUGAUUAGCUAGUUGGCGGGGUAACGGCCCACCAAGGCGACGAUCAGUAGCCGGACUGAGAGGUUGGCCGGCCACAUUGGGACUGAGACACGGCCCAG
This 336-nucleotide ribosomal RNA is filed under the name uncultured bacterium. RNAcentral describes it as "bacterial SSU rRNA". It matches the Rfam family "Bacterial small subunit ribosomal RNA", at positions 28 to 334 of the family's 1533-position model. The record is from RNAcentral.